GGGGGUGUCAAGGUUUCGACAGAGUAGACCUUUGAUUUAAAGUGCGAGUCGAGGAGCUGCCAGGCCUCGUUAAAAGGCAGGAAAAAACAAACGCAAAACCAAAUAGUUUUGUUGGAGUAACUUCUACUCCACAACGUUUAGCUGCUUAAUUAAGUUCAGCUAACCAUAAUAAGGCGAAGGUUGGCUACCCUUAUUAUGAUUUUCGCCAACUAGCCUAAAGUUAACUAACAAAAGACUCUAGGCGAAUCUGCUUGUUACUCCAUUCUCUAACCCUGUCGCUGGGGAUGUGGAUGGUAAGAUUUAAACAGUGACUACACUCGUAGUACUUUUUUUCUAAGCUAUUCUGGACACCGGUUCAAUUCCGGUCACCUCCACCA
This 377-nucleotide transfer-messenger RNA is filed under the name Candidatus Marinamargulisbacteria. Its description in RNAcentral is "AG-343-D04 sp003265885 Standard tmRNA". It matches the Rfam family "transfer-messenger RNA". Rfam says of the family: Bacterial tmRNA, also known as 10Sa RNA or SsrA, is named for its dual tRNA and mRNA-like properties. Its role is to liberate the mRNA from a stalled ribosome. To accomplish this part of the tmRNA is used as a reading frame that ends in a translation stop signal. RNAcentral also lists the same sequence under 2 other names. Lineage: Bacteria; Bacillati; Candidatus Margulisiibacteriota. The record is from RNAcentral.